AAUAAGUUUUUUUUUGCCGACAUAAAAUUUUCGGACCUCAAUUCUCGCAUACAUUUGUAUGAUAACUUAGAUUGCCUCUUGGAGAAUUCAUUCUUGAAGGAAGGUAUAUGCAGCACCUAUUUUGUUGAAGCAACGUUUUCCUUCCAAUUUCAACAAAGAGCAACCAGUGUUCUUCUCUUAUUUCAAAGAUUAAGUAUAGCUAUUUUUCUUCAUCGAUUUCAUGGUUAUGACAUUGAUUUUAUCCGGAUCUUAGCAAGUUGGAAAUAUACCUUGUGGUGAAUUAUCCUAAGAUUGAGGCGAAAAGAGCGAUGAGGCAAAAAGGAUUCACGAAUAGUCGCCGACAGGUACAGACGCACAGUUUGGUGAUCCACCAGUUUAGGACACCCUCUUCUGCUGUUUGGAGUGCUCCUCUUAUUCCGGAGCCUACAUUUUGGUAUAUAUACUUGUUUGAUGCAUAUGUAUAUAUUUGUUCAGGGGUACGGCGGGGCCCUGUUCUGCCAUAUGAUCCGUUUGGUCUGCUUAGAGGUGUGUAGACGUAUUUGUGGGUGUGUGCCUACUUCUGUACAGUUGUGUUUAUAUGAUUCUGUUCGUUAUGGCAGCCUUGUCGGCGUGCAUUUGUAUAUGUAUUUUGGGCCGUUGUGCCAUUUGAUAGCCUUGCCGGCUUUUUGAUAUAUGUGCAUAUGUUCGGCGAUGUGUAUUCCGCCGUCCCUUUUGAGUUUGAUAUGAUUU
Molecule: long non-coding RNA, 729 nt
Organism: Lycium barbarum (goji berry)
Lineage: Eukaryota; Viridiplantae; Streptophyta; Magnoliopsida; Solanales; Solanaceae
Exons: 3
Source: RefSeq, a predicted model, not a curated record